This 73-nucleotide transfer RNA is filed under the name uncultured archaeon. RNAcentral describes it as "tRNA-Thr(cgt)". It matches the Rfam family "tRNA". From Rfam's summary of the family: Transfer RNA (tRNA) molecules are approximately 80 nucleotides in length. Their secondary structure includes four short double-helical elements and three loops (D, anti-codon, and T loops). The record is from RNAcentral.
CCCUGAUGGUCUAGUGGUAUGACAGCGGUUUCGUAAACCGCAAGGGCGUGUUCAAUUUACACGUUUGGCUCCA